GAUGAACGCUAGCGGGAGGCCUAACACAUGCAAGCCGAGCGGUAUUGUUUCUUCGGCAAUGAGAGAGCGGCGUACGGGUGCGUAACACGUGUGCAACCUGCCUUUAUCUGGGGGAUAGCCUUUCGAAAGGAAGAUUAAUACUCCAUAAUAUAUUGAACGGCAUCGUUUAAUAUUGAAAGCUCCGGCGGAUAGAGAUGGGCACGCGCAAGAUUAGCUAGUUGGUGAGGUAACGGCUCACCAAGGCGAUGAUCUUUAGGGGGCCUGAGAGGGUGAUCCCCCACACUGGUACUGAGACACGGACCAGACUCCUACGGGAGGCAGCAGUGAGGAAGAUUGGUCAAUGGGUGCAAGCCUGAACCAGCCAUCCCGCGUGAAGGACGACUGCCCUAUGGGUGGUAAACUUCUUUUGGAUAGGGAUAAACCUACCCUCGUGAGGGUAGCUGAAGGUACUAUACGAAUAAGCACCGGCUAACUCCGUG
This 479-nucleotide ribosomal RNA is filed under the name uncultured bacterium. Its description in RNAcentral is "partial 16S ribosomal RNA". It matches the Rfam family "Bacterial small subunit ribosomal RNA", at positions 28 to 507 of the family's 1533-position model. The record is from RNAcentral.